RNAcentral lists this ribosomal RNA (227 nucleotides) under Clostridioides difficile. Its description in RNAcentral is "partial 16S ribosomal RNA". It matches the Rfam family "Bacterial small subunit ribosomal RNA", at positions 21 to 257 of the family's 1533-position model. The record is from RNAcentral. Lineage: Bacteria; Bacillati; Bacillota; Clostridia; Peptostreptococcales; Peptostreptococcaceae.
GGCUCAGGAUGAACGCUGGCGGCGUGCCUAACACAUGCAAGUUGAGCGAUUUACUUCGGUAAAGAGCGGCGGACGGGUGAGUAACGCGUGGGUAACCUACCCUGUACACACGGAUAACAUACCGAAAGGUAUGCUAAUACGGGAUAAUAUAUUUGAGAGGCAUCUCUUGAAUAUCAAAGGUGAGCCAGUACAGGAUGGACCCGCGUCUGAUUAGCUAGUUGGUAAGG